RNAcentral lists this ribosomal RNA (462 nucleotides) under uncultured bacterium. RNAcentral describes it as "partial 16S ribosomal RNA". It matches the Rfam family "Bacterial small subunit ribosomal RNA", at positions 339 to 795 of the family's 1533-position model. The record is from RNAcentral.
CUACGGGUUGCUGCAGUCGAGAAUCUUCCGCAAUGGACGAAAGUCUGACGGAGCGACGCCGCGUGCGGGAUGAAGGCCUUCGGGUUGUAAACCGCUGUCAGUGGGGAGGAAAUGCAUCAGGGUUCUCCCUGGUGUUUGACCGAUCCGCAGAGGAAGCGCAGGCUAGAGUUCGUGCCAGCAGCCGCGGUAACACGAACUGCGCGAACGUUAUUCGGAAUCACUGGGCUUAAAGAGUUCGUAGGCGGCCUUUCAAGUCGGGUGUGAAAUCCCUCGGCUCAACCGAGGAAUUGCGCCUGAUACUGUUGGGCUUGAGGGGGAUAGGGGUGAGCGGAACUGAUGGUGGAGCGGUGAAAUGCGUUGAUAUCAUCAGGAACACCGGUGGCGAAGGCGGCUCACUGGAUCUCUUCUGACGCUGAGGAACGAAAGCUAGGGGAGCGAACGGGAUUAGAUACCCUGGUAGUC